Sus scrofa (pig) is the source of this 6482-nucleotide non-coding RNA. Lineage: Eukaryota; Metazoa; Chordata; Mammalia; Artiodactyla; Suidae. The record is from RefSeq and is a predicted model, not a curated record.
CUGGACACAUAGGCGGAAGUGGCCCGCAGGCGCCGGGGAUGCGAGCACCUGCCGAGGAGGCGCGGCGUGGUGGACGGUGCCGGAGUGGGCGAGGAGGAGAAGCAGGAGAUGCUUUGUGGGAAAUUUCAGUAGAGAUGUCAGUACUUUGGUGCAGAUGUGCAAGAAGAGACCAUGCCGGAGGAGUUUGACUGCGUGUCUGGCGCAGAUCUGCAGCUUCUAGGAUCGUGAAUAUAGGACUUGGCUCAGCAGACAAAAGAAAAACUGAACAAAGGAGAGGAAACCAACAAACAUCCCGCUGGAAAUACUGAAUGUGGCAGAAUAAGAACAAUGGAUCUCAAGUUCAACAACUCCAGGAAAUAUGUUUCUAUCACUGUCCCAUCCAAAACCCAAGCAAUGUCACCACACAUCAAGUCAAUAGAUGACAUUGUGGUGCUUGGCAUAAAUCUCAGCAGAUUUAACAAACUUACUCAGUUUUUCAUAUGUGUUGCUGGAGUUUUUGUAUUUUACCUAAUUUAUGGAUAUUUACAGGAAUUAAUAUUUUCAAUGGAAGGUUUUAAGCCCUAUGGCUGGUACCUGACCUUAGUGCAGUUUGCGUUUUACUCCAUAUUCGGCCUAAUAGAACUUCAGCUCAUUCAAGACAAAAGGAGAAGGAAAGCGUUAUAAUGUGGCCGACGUGUCUGCUGCCUUGUGUAUGAGCCUGGGCCUGAUAUGGUUCACCCUGGCUGACAGCACGGUUGCACCGAACUUCAACCUCACAGGUGUGAUCCUUAUUUCCCUGGCACUGUGUGCAGAUGCCGUCAUUGGAAAUGUCCAAGAGAAAGCUAUGAAACUGCAUAACGCUUCUAAUUCAGAAAUGAAUAUUACCACCCGUAGUUAUUCUUGGGUGUUCAAAUCCCCAAAUAAACUAGAAAUCCCAUUGAUACUGUGAUUGGUAUGGCUUUGAAUUAUAAGUUAAUUUAGGGAGAAUGGCAUCUAUGCACUUGAUUCUUUCAGUCGAAGAAUAAGGUAUGACUUUCCUUUUAUUCAAGUGUUUCCUUUAAAUGUCCCUUAUAUUUUAAAGUUUCUUCUUAUAAAUCCAGUUUUUUUUUUAUUGGCGUUAUUGUUAGGUUUUUUAUCUUUUUGCUGUUACUACUGCAAAUAAUGCUUUUUUUCAAUAUAUAUUCUAACUGGUUGGUAUUUUUACAUAGGAAAGGUGUUAUAUGCAUGUGUUUGUAUUAAUUUUAUAGCCAACCACCUUGCUAGACAGCAUACAAGACUGGUCUUUCCUAGCAGACGAGGGCAUCUUUGCGGAGUCCCUAGGAACAUGGGAACUUUAAUCUUGGUCCGGAGUUUUCCUGGUCAUCAUCGCCACUCUUUUUAGAUAAGGAAAGGAGCAGAGAAUCAAGGAAGUGUAGUGAGAAGGUGUAUUACAGUAGGCUCUGAACUAAGAUAGCCUUAGUGCUGCGGUAGCUUUAUUAGCUCUCCCGUGGGGAAAAUGACUUAAUCUCUCUGAGUUUUCGUCUCUUAGUUUCUUCAUCCACACAUUGGAGAGUGGUGCUUACGAGUGCCUACGCUUGUACUGGCUGUGAGAAAUGGAGGAAUCCAUAGGUAGAGCGUGAUUGACACGGGACCCGACAUGCAGCAGGUGCCUCAGUUGAGGAUGAUGCUGACUCUGCUUAUAAGCAACACAGAACACUAACGAGCCAGGAUAGAAAGCUUGGUGGAAAAAUUGGGAAAUGAAGCAAUGGAUAUGCCAUAUGCUGCUUAUUUUAUUUUCUUUAUGUUAUAAUGCCUUUGCAAACUUCGCGUUUGGGUUUUUCAUGUUUAAUAAGUAGUUUUGAAGUGUCUUUGUUUUGUGUAUGUUUUUAGGCCCUCUACAUCACAAUCCAGUUUGAGUCAGUAAUUAAGCUCUAGGCAAAAAAAUGAAUAAUUAGGCAACCAUGUGUGAUGCGAUUGGUACUGCUGUGUUCAUUGUGCAUCAAAUAAUGUGCAGUGUUAUAAACAAGAUCAACCAUCACUUCCAGAAAAUUGGGCCAUAUUGAAAGAGUAAUAUUACUUUUAAAAUUAUUUCUUCUACCAAACUUAACUGACUAGAUUAAUUGAGCCAAAUAUUGAAAAGCCGUCAUUUCCCACCUUUGGUUUCAUAGCGGUUCUCUUCCCCUUUACUUUCACCUCCUCCAGGUCUUGUAUUCCUACUCCAUUGGUUUUGUGUACAUUUUAUUGGGAUUGACAUGCACUAGUGGAUUAGGCCCUGCGGUAACAUUUUGUUCAAAGAACCCAGUUCGGACCUACGGUUACGCUUUCCUUUUUUCCCUCACUGGGUAUUUUGGAAUCUCCUUUGUUCUGGCCUUGAUUAAAAUUUUUGGUGCACUGCUUGCUGUAACAGGUAGGAAUGAAGCACUUGCUUCGAUUCUGAAAUAAGCAUUUACAUUUGCUCUGAUACUCUCUUCCAAAAGAUAAGGGCAGCGUCUACUCCUCGGUAAAAGGAAAAUUGUCAUAUUUCACCAGUUUAUUCCUUGGCUUAUGGUAUUUCUUUAAAAUUCUAAAGAAAACGAUGUUUGAUCUUAAUUUCUUGAAGGUUGAAUUUUAAAAUCAAAUAUCUGCAUUUUCUAAAUAGUAACUUAAAGACAUUAAAAGACCUUUUAAGAGUUCCCAUUGGGGCGCAGCAGUGACAAACCUGACUAGUAUCUGUCAGGAUAUGGGUUCGAUCCCUGGCCUCACUCAGUGGGUUAAGGGUCUGGCGUUGCCAUGAGCUGUGGUGUAAGUCGCAGGUGUGGCUCGGAUCCUGAGUUGCUGUGGCUGUGGGGUAGGCCGGCGGCUGCCACUCCUCUUCAGCCCCUAGCCUGGGAACUUCCGUAUGCUGCAGGUGCAGCCAUAGCGGGGGGUGGGGGGGGGGAUAAAGACCUUUUAAAAAGUAUGACCAGAUGAAUACCUUCAAGGAAAAAUAUUGUGGUUAGUCAUGUUUAAUUUAUAACUGAAAAUUACAGUUUUCUUACACUCAUAAUAGGACAGGUAUUUUGAAGUAAAGCUCUUUGGACCUUCCAUGCGUACCCUUUCUGGGGCCUCGAUCAGAUUUGCUUCCCUUUUCGCUAAUGAUGGUCAUGCACCUGCUCUGCAGGGCCUUUGCCUGACGUGUUUGUCUUGCUCUGGAGGCGUGAAGAGUGCACGUGGGGGCUGCAGGGGAGGCCCAGUGAAGGGGGCAGCUGACCCCAUGUGCUGCCUGGUAUAGUUUUGCUGAAAGAACAGCCCCCUGACACAUACUCUCAGCAUCUCCCCGCUGGAGAGGCCCCUCCGGGGAGCCCAGGACUGGAAGUUGUGAUGCAGAGCACGGCGUUGGGGUGUCCGAGAAGGCGGGGCCCUGGCCCAGCGCUGACCUUUGGUGACCUGGAGGGACCCGAGUCCCUCCGCUGCUCUCGGUUUCUCUUUUGAGAAGUGACUGGGGUUGGGCAAGAACGUGCCCCUCAGAGCUCUGCGGAGCUGGAUCCGGAAGGCCCACACGCAUUGUAAUUUCUCACGGUGUUCGAGGAACACGGACCUGAAAACCACAGAAUAGAUUAAACAAGUGGAUAAACAGCCCUCUCUUUGUAAAAGUGCACUUGCUCCCUAACUGUUCUGGUUGCCUACACAUGAGGCUUCUUUUUGACGUUUGCACCCCUAGUGGUAGAAGGAGGGAGCUUAUCUGGAGAUCAGGCCUGGUCAGUAACCUCCUGAAUCCUCUCAGGCUGUUACAGACUUUGCUCGGGUUUCGGCGUUGCUUGCAGGAUACUCACUGUUCCAGAAGGGUCUGAUAUCCAUCUGUACGAGCCCUGUGGUUGGUAUAAGGAAAUGUGAGAUGCCAUCCUUUGUCCGGAAGGCGCGGGCAGGUUCUCUCUCUCUCUCGUGUGAAGAAAAUCCAGAGAUGCUGAGAACACCAGCUAACGUGUUCUCAGCACACACCCUUAGUCUGUGCUGGGUGCCAUGGCAGGGGUUCUACGUAGAUUCAUGCUAACCUCACAGCGGUCCCAUAGACGAGGCACCACCCUCGUCCCAAGUCACAAAUGGAUCAGCUGAAGAAGCCCGGGGAGGUUAUGUGACUGGCCAGUAAGUUGCAGAUUCAAGAUUCCCCCUGAGGCAUCUGGCUCCAGACCCACCUUUUAACCCUGAGCUGGUGUGGUGGCUGCAGCUCACUAGGAGCUUUAUCCGGCUCUGUCCCUCUGCCGUCUGCGUCCUCAUUCUGGGGGGCGCGGGGAGAAGAUAGGGACACACCCUUCUCUUCCCGAGGCCUUCCCAGAAAUCACCCUCCUGCCACAGCGCUUCUGCUCACGUUUUGUUGACCAGGCAUAGUCCUGUGACCACCCCUGGCCGGAGGAGAGGCCUGAAAGGUAUCCCAGCUCAAAACAGGGGCCUUUUAUCUUUUUCCUUUGUAGAAGGAGAAGCAGAUUUGGGGAAUCGGGCUCCAGAACAGUUUCCUCGUUUGUGUUUGCUCCUUCAUGCUUUGAACAUCCAGUGCGGGAAGCCCUGGCGUCUCGGCUGCGAGGAUGCCUGGGACAGGGAACCAGGCAGGGCACGCGGUCUCGUGGGGGAAGGUACCCAGAGCUCCGGCUGGGGCGAGGGCGGAAGGUUUCAGACCUGUCAUCCCUGCCUUGGGACAGCCAAGGGGACUGUGGAGGUUACUCUCGGUCCUGUGCCCGCCAGUAGCAUAGCAGGAUGUCCUUUAGUGCGUGUGCCGCUGUCAGAGACUAACCCCAGCCCUGCCUAUAGCUCAUCUCCCUUGGAAAGCCUUUCUUUCUGCCAGGCCGGGCGCCACAGCUCUCUGCAGGAUGACGUGCCACCGUGCAGCGCGGCCGCCCUCUGGUACCACCUCAGUUAAAAGCUCACGUCUGCAGCCCUGCUAGCUGUCCCCUCCAUGCAGCGGGAGCCGUGACUUUCUGUUUGUUUGUGGUCGCCUCUGUUUCCUUGGCACCUCACAGGAGGCUCUGUAAAUACUGGUUAAGUAAAUGAUUUCCAAAAUGUUGCCAAGACAGUAGGCACAGUCUUAAACCAACCUUUUUCUCCCUGCAGUGACGACGGGAAGAAAAGCAAUGACCAUUGUACUGUCAUUUAUAUUCUUUGCCAAACCCUUCACAUUUCAGUAUGUAUGGUCUGGUUUGUUAGUUGUCCUUGGCAUAUUUCUCAAUGUCUAUAGCAAAAACAUGGAUAAAAUAAAACUGCCAUCACUCUAUGAUCUGAUAAGCAAAACCAUGGAAGCGAGAAAGUCAAGAACAUUGGCACAAACUGUAUAGGCAGUGAUGUGUCCUGUUUAUGAAAUAGAAUUCUAAGGGAACAGUCAUCAGUUAAUGAACUUUCCAAAAGGAUUGUUGUGCGAACCAAAGGAUCUAAAGGCACAUUCUCCGUCUGUGGAUGGAUUUUACACACGGCGUUGGCCUUUCCUCAGACCCUUGUUUGUUUGAGUUCUGAAGCGCUCAAGAGCUGCACACCUGACACACCGUGGAAUAAAGCAUGAAUAUGAAGGACCGAUUCUUACAGCCUGUUGAAAAUUUCACUGGAAAUGGACCAUGUUGCAAGACUACAUAAUUACGACAUAUCAAAGAAAUUGAUAUGUAAAAGCAGACUUUUUUUCAUUCCAUUUCGGUGGUGUUAUUUAAAUCAAUUCUCUGUUGUAAGAGUGAACUGAUGAUUUAAAAUCCAGAGAGCAUAACUUCAUUAUAAAUAAAAUGAUUCUGUGAUUUUUUUUUUAAGAAUGUAUUUGAUAGAAUUUUGUUAUGAACAGGGGGUAUGAAGGUUGAAUGUUGCUACGAAGAGAGGAAGUAAAUUUUACAUACACUUUAAAACGUAGGCUCUUCUCUGCUCAUUUAAAAGUAUUCUUUGGAGAAAACAUGCUGUGACCUUCCUGCGGGAUGUAGGCCCUGGAGUAAAAAGCAGUCGGCCUCCUGAAUCCUGGAAGUCUUUAUCACAAGACACAUUUCCGACCCUUCAUCAGAGGUGCUGCAAGAUCUAAUGGUUUUCCGUUUUUGAAUUGAAGGGAAAAGAACUGGUGUCUUAAAUGAUUAUGAAGUAAUAAAGCUGUAGUUUUUCCUAAAAGUAAAAUUUAAUUUAGCAACGAAGAUGAAAUAGGAUAAAUUCCAGAAACACGAGUAGAUUUAGCAAAUUUGCACAGUGUGUCGCAGGGUUUUGAGUCGAAACUCAGAAAGAUUUUGGCCUUGAUUUUUUAGCAGUGAGUUUUAGAAUUGCUUCUACUGUAUCAAAAGUCCUAUUAAUCUCCAUUUUCAAUGUAAGUGCUGUUGGCUGAAGCAGCUCAGUGUCUAUGCUCUUGGUGAUAUCACUUAUAUUUGGCGAGUAUGGUAUGUUUAGUAUAUUUAAUCAUAGUCUUAAAAUUCCAUUGUAUUCUGAUGGCAACCUUAUACCUGUUAUGUGCACUUGUGGGUGUCACGGAGCCCAUGAAAACGUAAGGAUUUAGCCCAAGAAAUUCUGAUUUUCAUUAGCCAUAUUAAAUAAAAUACUGUGGGGCAUAUUUUGAAGUGGAA